Molecule: long non-coding RNA, 3381 nt
Filed under: Panax ginseng (ginseng)
Lineage: Eukaryota; Viridiplantae; Streptophyta; Magnoliopsida; Apiales; Araliaceae
Description: long non-coding RNA (PGIN_LNC004039)
Source: RNAcentral
AAAUCAUCGACUACAUAAUUAUUCAUUAUCUUUACAAUUAACCAUCUAAAGCUACCACAGUUUUUCAAUCAAAGUAUAUAUCUACAUAUAUAGAGAUAGUACACUUCAUAAUUUCGUCCCUUGUCUUCCGUAAACGUAGCACGAAAAUUUGAUACCCAAUAUUGUAAGGCAGGUCGUAGAAGCAGUCUUCCUGCACAUAUUUAAAUAUAAUAGCAAAGUCAGUAAAAUAAUAGCAAAGUCAAAACAACGUGCUAAAUUUACCCAAACUGCAUUAUUCAAUUACUUAUUUCAAAUGGAAGAUGAAAAUCAACCUAUUUUUAUCACUAAAAGAAAAUAUAUAUAUACAAAGCAUAAAACGAAGGUCAUCAUUAGAGCAUAUUUUCUACUACCAUUAUCCACAAUAAGAAAUGCAAGCUUUUGGGCAAGUAAAAACAACAUAUAGAGAUCUUUAAAGAAAUUUUAUAAGCACAACCCUUUUGUUUGAAAUCAAAUCUUUUGAGGACAUCCAUAAUUCUUCCUAUAUAAAUAUUUUCUAGGCCAUCCCUAUUGCAAUUAAGACUAUAGUACAAAAGGCAGUGUGUGAACAUACUAAAUUCAGCAGGGUAUAAAUAGAAGUUGUGAUUUUUUUUUAGUUAGACUUCAGAUUAAUGCUCCUUUAUGAAGUUUAGAAGAUGAAGAAAAACAUCAUCAUCACACGAGCAUCUGAAACUUUCCUACUACCUUUACGUAAGUAAUACCAUAUGGUAAUGUUGGGAGUAAGAACCAUCAAUAGACCACACCUUGAAUACCCCUAAUUUUCCAUCUUUACUUCGAGUACCCUUUGGAAAGAAAAAAACAGAUCCUCCCUUCUUCACAAGAUCCAUGCAUCGUUUGAGAGUUUGCUACAUUCAUAAAGACAAAAAAUAAAACCUGUAUAGUUCAAGAAAAGAAAAAUAGUUUACUAGAACAAGUACUAUAAUAUAAAUUUCCCAAAUGGAAAUCCAACCUAAACAAACUGAUUAAUUUUUUGCAUCAAAGGUGAAAUAAUAUUUUCAAGGGAAGGAAUCAAGUUACCAAUUGGCAUCUGAUGUCCAUGCGCUUCAAAGGAAUAACACCCAUUAAAAACACGACCCAUCCAACAACAGGAAAGAAAAAAAUUGAUGUCUUGCUGAUGAACUUGAAGCUACUACCCAGAGUGAGAAGAACAUGUGUCUAAAAAGCUCUGGUGGUUGGACACAUAUAUAACAGGAGUAUCAUGUGAAGGCAAAUUCUCUACUCCCACCACUUCAACAUUAAAAAAUGGAGUAACAGUAAAAAGAGCCCAAAUUUUGGCGAUAAGCUAAUGGGCUUUUCUACGGUACCACAAAAUUCAACUAAAGAAAAAAAAUUCACAAGCAUGGUCGAGUGCGAGGAACCCAUUACCAACCCCAGAAAACCAGCAAUCACAACCGUUUAUUGGAAUAUUUUAAGACAAGAAUCAAGAUCCCAAUACGCCCUUAAGUGUAAAAUAAUCAAUUUGGAUAAAACAGUGAACACAGCUUCAAGGUUCAAAAACUACUAUAUAAUGUAAUGUACCUCGAUUUCCUCAGAGAGCAAACAGCAUCAUCCAACGAUAUCACUAGUAAUGGUAUGAGCCUCAAGAUUUGUGGGUUUUCUUUUUGACAGUCAACGCACGAGCGACAAACACUAGCGGCGCAGCGGAGCACGAGAAACAUAGACAACCUUAGUUAUCUGCAAAUCACAGAAGGGAAGCAAGUAUUACCGCUUUGCAGCCAAUUACUAUCUUAGUCUUAAUCAAUUUGCACAGAAGAAAAACAAAGAGUGAACAAACCCACCACAGUAUGGUACUUAGUUUCUUUGAACAAUAACACUUUGUAGUAGAUGUUGACAAUGGGAAUUCAUUUAAACAUUUGAUAUAUACAUACGUAUCAGUCCACACAUAUCAGUAUUGUCAGUGGCUAUACUUAAUGGUCUAACUGCUAUGAAUCAUAUGACUUAUACAAUGUUAUAUAUUUAUAUGUAUUAAAUGAUAACUUUGUACGUAUUUAAUUUAUUAUUUUACUUUAUUCUUUUUUUUAAUAUUAUUUUCCUAUUUUCAAGGAAUAUAUAGCUUUUUGUUAAGUAUCGGCCGAUGCCAACACCCCCAUCAAGACUCGACUGUCUAAUACAUCUUUCGAUACUACAACUUUAGACCCUGCUCUAACCUAAAUCCCUAGUCAGAAGGUUAACAACAAAUGUAAACAUAAAGAUGGGCAUUGGGUCCCCUCGGCGGAAACCCCUAGAAGCCUUAACCCUCCAAAUUGUAGAGAAAUAAAAAGAGGAAAGAUUACCCCAAGUCCAAGCCCUCGAUAUAUCUUCAUAACCUUUCCUCUCCAUGACCUUAUCAAAAAGCCUCAUUUGACCCUAUCAAACGCCUUGCUAAAAUCCAAUUGAAGAACUUAUCCCUGACAACUCCUACUCACAUCUUUGACGCCUCGUGAGAAGCUGCAAGAUUUUAUAAAUCUGAACUGCAAUACCUAUAACUAUAACCUAGAUAGACACAAAAACCACUACAUUGGUCUCCAGAAAGGCACAAUCUAAGUACCUGAUAAUCAAGAAAGAAAAUGCCAACACCUUUGAACUAAAAAGUUUCUUAAGUUGAUACCUAUAUAACAAUUUACAUCGCAUAUACCUCAAAGUGGUAACUACUGUUGUCUUUUUGGACUAGGUGCGAUAGCAAGGAGAAUCUUCUUCCUUGGUCCCUACAAAUAGAGAAGUCUUCAAAAGAAUACAAGCUAUUAUAGAAAUUUUAACGACACAAAACCAUACACAAUUAACAACAUAAAAUUAGAAGCAGGUGAGUCUAAAAAUAGUAGAAAUUAUUAAGGAAAAUAGAAAACUAGGGCAUAAUUAGUACAUUUUCAACAAAUUUGACUACAAAGUAAGAGAAUGGGAUCUUCCUAUAAUAAGCAAACAAGAGGAAAAGAAAAGAGAAGAAAUUAGGGUUCCAAAUUGUUAAAAUAAGAGAAAUUAACUGAAAGUUUCAAUUUGUGAGAAAUAGAGCUAAGUUUUCUAUAACAAGCUAUUACAUAAAUUUACGGUAUAACAUACUAGCGGCAAUUUGAGAGCAGAGAGUUUCAAUUCGAGGAAAACUACAAUGUAAGAUAAGAGAGCUUCAAUUUCGAGACUAGUGGCAAGGUAGCGACCACAGCAAGGUAGCGACCACAGCAAGGUAGCGACGGCGGCGACAAGGCAGGGAGACAAGGCGCCAAAAAGAUAUAGAUCUAAAAGGCUCCUUGGAUAAGGCGGAUGCCGAGUCACUGUUUGGGAUUUGGGGUUUUGUGUGAGGCUAGAGACAGGGUGAGAGAUAAAGACUGAUUUGGGUAAUUGGUAAUUGUUGUCAAGGAGUCAUGUAGCGUUACA